Molecule: unclassified non-coding RNA, 225 nt
Filed under: Hevea brasiliensis (rubber tree)
Lineage: Eukaryota; Viridiplantae; Streptophyta; Magnoliopsida; Malpighiales; Euphorbiaceae
Source: RNAcentral
UCGCGAGCGCGGUGGAUUUUUUCCAUCGUCCGCCCCAGCGCCUCGAUCACCGGCGCAACUUCGGUGACCGUGCCGAUGGUGGUGACGCGGGCGGCGAUGCGCGCGCGCUCCAGAUGAUGCGCGACCUGAUCGCGGCUCCAGAACCUUCGCAGCCAGCGGAUCGUCCCGGUUGGCGCCCGCUUCAUUGACGAUCACCGACAACGGCGUCUUGAUGGCAUGGGCAAG